Molecule: long non-coding RNA, 5329 nt
Filed under: Orbicella faveolata
Lineage: Eukaryota; Metazoa; Cnidaria; Anthozoa; Scleractinia; Merulinidae
Description: uncharacterized LOC110041338
Source: RNAcentral
UGCUCUUUCUGCACAUCAAAACGGCCGUGAUAAACAAAAAGCUCGUUUCACAGGAAAUAUCUUUAGGAUUCAUGCAAUCGUAGGAGUGCUCGAUACAAAUAUAUGUAGAGCGAUUAUGGAAUCAAAGUUCGCAAGUCAGGUUCAUAAAUAAUUUUUGAACUGAAGUGAUUAGGGAAUCGAUAAUCAUCAGCUAGAAUGAUUAUUUAUUCAUCUACUUAUUUGUUACAUUCGUAACUUUACUCCAAAUUACCUUCAAAAAUUAGUGAUUAAAAUACAGAAACAGGAGAUAGAGGUGACUAAAAGCAUCGCGCGCUAUACUAUUUUGAUCUUCUGUGCUAGUUUCUAAUUCCAGCCACGAAAAGACAACUAAAAUUGCGCUUAAAACCUAUUUAUAUUUUUAAAAGCGAACAACAUCUACUAUUGACGCUUCUGUUUUUCCUCGAGAUACUUUUCUCAGGAUUCUCGAGGUGGGGGUGGGGGGAGGGGGGAAUAGAGAGAACCUGCCAUCCAUCCCUACGUACUAAUUUUGCCAUGAACACCCGCUGUGCAAUCAACCUUGUUCCCAGGGUCUUUCCCUCGACGAUUUUCAAAAUGGCGGACUUUCCCGCCAUUUUGAAAAGUGUAAGGGUUGGACUUGCUGUAGACGAGAUCUGUCAAUGUAAUUUCAAGGAAAAUCGCUUUAUUUUUUUAAUACUUGGCGAAGGCCGUCUGAAAAUUUAAAGAGAACCCUGCAAAGCCUGCAAAGUCAAGGAAGCCAUCCAAGAUCAAAGCUCAAUACCAUGCCAGUUAUUGGUUUCAUUUAUUUCUUUUUGCAAAAUGCACAAUGAAAAUUUAAACGUUGUGUUUUGCACUAAGAAAUAGCUUGAUAUUGAUAAAGAACAUGGUAGUGUUUUCACCCUUGAUGUAGUGGCAUUUUGAACAGGAAAAGAAAUCAAGUGAGUAUGUAUUUGGAACCACAAUGAUUCAUGACGCAAGUUUCAGGUUAUUUUGAAACAAAGGAAAAUACCAAAUUAUACCAAGAGUAAUAUUUGUCUUUACUUUUAAGGCUAAGAAUACAAUUAUUUUGUACAGCUAUUUGUUAAACUUAGACCAAGAGUAAACAGCUGAUGCUAAACAUGCUUUUUUGUGCAUCACAGAGUGUAAGGUAUGCAUGAAAAGGUAAAUGUAGCUUUCAUAAUUUUGAAGAAGGGAACAAGUGCAAAACCUUGAAGAAACUGCUUGUUAUUGGGUGCUCACUAUACAUCAAGGAUAAAAUUAAUGUGCCAAUAUCUGUGUAGCAUGUAACAUGCAUACACUUUGUGAAUCCACCAUCUGCGUAAGAUAAGUGUGCAAAGGACAGCAUGCAUUAUCAUCAAAUUUGAACUUUGUGUCCUUUUUGUUGAUAAAUAUUAAGUAGAUAUAACUCUGAACAGUUUUUUAUGUAAUUUAAACAAUAUUGUUCCUUGCUGUUUGUUUUAAGAGCAUUGAACAUGUACUCAACAAGAGAGCUUGAACAGUUCUGCUGUGAUUUUUUACUUAUAAACAGGUGAAAAUGGGAUAAUAAUAAUAAUAAUAAUAAUAAUAAUAACGAUAAUGAUAAUAAUGACUAUUUUAAGAGGAUGGCCCAUCAGUGUAUUAAACACUGUUAUCAAAGGCGUCCUGUGAAAGAAACUAUAGUGAAAAUAAGGAAAAAGGUGAAAGAAGGUAAAAAAAGGUAAAAAAGGCAUACAAAAUUAAUAACUAAGCAGCACCAAACAGUUUUGUGAUUAAGCAGGGUCCUAAAUUACCUUUUGUACUGGAUUGCCCAUUGGACUACAAGUUUUUCAGGUCUAGGUGUCGAAAGUGAAAUCUAGUCAUCAAAUUAUUAAUAAAAGUACAUGCAUAGGUACAUACAUACAUCCCCACAUUCAUACAUAUAAUUUAUUUCCUCUCAAAUUUUAAGUAGCUAAAAUUAACUAAUAUCUGCGAGAAUAUAACUAUAACAAAAUACAAUACUUACUCAACAAAUAUGCUAAAAAUAAUGAAAGAGCUGAACUAUGUAUAUAAAGUAUAAAACUAGAGACAAGUUGCCAUGCUACUGAAAAGACUCAUUGUGAUAUCUUUCACUUAAAGUCCGCAAAAAUACAAGUUCUUAGUGAGUAAUAUGCCAGAACUUGGCAUCCCAACUGUCUUUCUUUGUGAUGGCUUGUUUAUCACUGCUGCAAUAGGUUAAUCCAAAUUCAAUACUCAUGGAUAACAUAAGGUUACAAAAUUGACAGAACGCAGAGAAAGGCCUCUUAGCUUGUACAAUAUAUGUUAUCUUGAAGAGCUUUGAAGUUUUCUCAAUGCCUAAUCCUCUUCCAUGUGAAGGAUACAAGAUUCCAGUGGUUGUUCAGGACUCUUGUUUUUGAGUCCAAACAAGAUUUUGCUGGGCAGCUGACUUGUGUGCUGCACUUUUUUCAUGCUUAAGUUUUUUUUUCAAGUUGAGCUGUUGUACAGCCCUUGUUUGAAGCCAAAGCACUGUGCUCUUCUUGGUCUCCUGCAGUAUUAUAAUCUAUGCAAUAUGAGGUAGUCAAGCGAGACUUUGUGUCUUAGGUGAAUUGGAAAGGCUUAACUAGCUGAAAGAAAAUGAAUUCUUUGAUAGUGUUAUUAUCAUAUCUGCUUGAGGAGUGAGAGGGCCAUCAGGUAUUUUGAAUUUCUUUUCCAGCUGCAACCAAUGUUGACUACACUACUUUUCUGUUAAGCUUCUGUCUGACCUCGUUCUAUAGAAAAGUAUUUCAACGUUUAACACCAUUUAAAUCUGCUUGAUAUUUAUCCUUUAAAAGACAUUUGUUUUGUCAACUUUUGCUAUAGAUUCUGACCAUUUAUGAGUUUUAAUGGCUGGCUUAUAUAUUAAAUUAUGAUGGCAACCUUUACUUUGCAAUGCAUACAAUCAUGCAAUACCUUGUGAUCUUUGGAAAGUACAGAAAGUUUUAUGUUUUGCCUGCAUUCACUCUAAAUGUGUGCAGGCCCUGUGUACAUUGCAAGGUGCAAAAGAGAUCAUGGUACCACUGAGAGUGCCACCAGUAAAAUGUAGCACUAAAACAUGUAAACAAAGUUGAUCCAUUCAAAAUUUGUUCAUAACAGCUACCAAAAGUUUCGACCUUGUCAACUUAAACAGAGCAAAUGUUGUUAAAACCCCUGGGUUGAAACCUUAGCUAAGCUGAUCAGAAGAGAGCAGAUCAACAAAGUUAAUGUAACUGGUUUAUGACAGAGUGACAGAGAUAUUUCCUUAUGAGAGCAAUUCAGAAGGUAUUGUUAAUGAGUAUCAACCCCACCGUCAAUAUACUGCCCAUAGGGAAAAAUCUAUUUACCUAAUAGGUAAUUUGUUUAGGUCCAAAUCCAAGUCAAAGGGAGCUUUUGUUAUAUAUUGAAACAAACUGCCUUAAUAUUAAUAUAGUGUACAUGUAUAUUUAUAUAAACACAAGAUAUUCCAAAAUAUACAGUCAUGUGAAAUAAUGUCAAAGAUAGAGAAAGUGCAAUUUAAGAUGCUUGCAAAUGUUACUAUUAAAAUAAAAACAAUUACAUCCAGGGGCAAAUGCUGAGAUGCAAACAAACAGUUGACAAUUUAGACUGUGAUGGUUUUCAUUUAGAUUAAAAUUAAUUAAAGUGCAAGCUGGUUUUUCUCUAUAUUUAAAGGAAAUGCCAGAUGGUGAGAUAUGACAUCAAAGUGUAUUGGCCAUGACCUGUGGUGUUAAAAGGAGAGAAUUUUGACUAUUGUACAAUAUGUACAAUAAAAUAGAAAAUACUGCUGUAAACCACUGGCAAAGAUUAUGUAAGACACCUAAAAUGAUGGGAAGUGGAAACCGUAGAAGAGUGGAAAGGUGUUUUCGCGAGGGACAGCCAAACAUUGUUCAACCAAGGGCAAAAAAAAAAAACUGAAUGGUGGAAAAAAGAACUUGAUGUGAUAGUGUUGCAAUCAUGUGCACUGUAAGGUCAUCCUUUUCAACAACCCCCUUUUUUGAGUUUUUCCGGUAAACUUGAAUAUUGAUUCGAACAAUGUUUUAGUUUAUUUUAUCUUAAUCUGGCUGGCAUGGAACUUCACCAUGGAACUUUUCUUUGGAGACGGGCUUCUUUGUUCUUCUUCUGAUAAUGUCGCAUGCUAUGCUCAUAAGUUCUUGGUGUGGCAGCCAUUGUGCAACACCAAGAAACAUGUGAUACAAAGAUUUUCCUGGUAUGGUUUCUCUGUUUUAGGGUUAUGAUCUAGCCAUUGAUUUCAUAGUUGUCAUGAUACCGUCAUUUUUCAUUCAGUAGAUCAUAUUUGUUGUGCUUCUUACCAAAAAAAAUCCAUCUUGCAGCAGUUACAAAGGGAAAACUAACCAUUGAUUUAUCUGUUUUUACUGUUGUAAUCAAUACAUGGUCACUUUCCAUGGCUGUCAUCAAGGGCCGUAACCUGUAACACCUAUUAUGGCUCAGUAUGUUUGAGUUUCUCUUGGUGCUAUGGGUGAAAUUGCUUUUUGUUGAAAGAAAUCACCUACAAUGUAACAAGUUUGCUACGGGUGUGAAGAACAAGGGUACCGGCAACUCAAAACUUAAUGACAUCCCUGCUUUCAUCUGGUGGUUGUGGAACAACUAUUAUUACUGCUUGAGUUUUCAAAUCAAUGUUUGAAAUCAUGGUAAUUGAACAUCCAUAACAAAACGGUGCAAAAAGGGGUGAUUUGACUGUUUAUUUUAAAUAAUAGUCAGUACUUGUAAAAAUGACAAGAAUGAUUUUGUUCCCAAGAAAAGAACUAUCAGCACUGGGUAUUUGUAAUCAGUCAUAACUGAGAAAGAAAACUGCUGAUUUGAACUGGUAUCGCUGUUGUAUUAAUAAAUAUAUUCAUAAGGCAGUAGCCAUCCAAAUGUUUUGAAGGACCUAGGCAAUAAUAAGGUACCUUGUCAAUAUUAUGGUUAAUGGGUAUUCUAAUGCUUCUGGUAUUAGUUAUGGCUGAAUGGCAAGAAAGAGGUCACAAUCGCCAAGCUGAAAAACUGGAAAGGUCAAAGUUUUUGUUUGCUCACUGUGAAGGGUGGGUUUAUUUGUUAUGUCAAUAGGUGUUGCUAGGACUGAUGAGAGUGGGCUAUGUGGAUGAUGGUAUAUUCUGGUUGACCCAUGACAGUAAUGCAAUCUCAAACAAAUAAUAUGAAAAAAAAUUAUGAUAAAAAUAUAACGAAAAUCAAAGGAGAUUGUGGUGCAAAAUGAGUUGUUGUGAUUGUGGUGCAAGUGGGUUUGUUAUGCAAAUAGGUGUUGCUUGAACUGAUGAGAGUGGGCUAUGUGGAUGAUGUUAUAUGCUGGUUGAUGAAUGACAGUAAUGCAAUCUCAAAGAAGAUAAACAAAUAAAAUGAAAAAAAAAAA